This 82-nucleotide transfer RNA is filed under the name Rozella allomycis CSF55. RNAcentral's name for it is "tRNA-Leu (CAA) (tRNA-Leu-CAA-1-1)". It matches the Rfam family "tRNA". From Rfam's summary of the family: Transfer RNA (tRNA) molecules are approximately 80 nucleotides in length. Their secondary structure includes four short double-helical elements and three loops (D, anti-codon, and T loops). The record is from Rfam by way of RNAcentral. Lineage: Eukaryota; Fungi; Rozellomycota.
GGUGAGAUGGCCGAGCGGUCUAAGGCGUGUGACUCAAGUUCUCAUCUCUUCGGAGGCGUGGGUUCAAAUCCCACUCUCACUA